RNAcentral lists this long non-coding RNA (1128 nucleotides) under Monodelphis domestica (gray short-tailed opossum). RNAcentral's name for it is "lncRNA (ENSMODG00000044349.1)". Lineage: Eukaryota; Metazoa; Chordata; Mammalia; Didelphimorphia; Didelphidae. The record is from RNAcentral.
CAUAGCUCACUGUUACAUGUAUUUGGAUAAGUGAGUUUAUUGUUUGAUUUAAUUUUCAUUGUAAAAACUUAUGCAAUGUUGUGUUUAUUGUGAUUUUCAAAUUUUUUUCUCUAAGUUUAAUGUUAAUGUACUAUAAUACUAGUACAUUAUUCUGUUUUAGCUGAUAAGAGUAUGUUAAGUUUGAUAUUUGCAAGGAAGUUAUAUUCAUCUUUUGUUUGAUGUUAUUUACUGUUUUGAUUUGUCUUCUGUUUGACUUUUGUACUUGUUCAUUAUUUACUUUGUUUUCCUUUUCCUUUUCUCCUUGUUACAAUUCCUUAGACUAGGUUAGAGUAAGAUAGUUGAGUGUAGGUUGUUUGUUAUUUGGGUAGAUUUCUUAGUUUAGGUAACUGGUAAGUAUUUUAGAUUUGUGCAAUAGGGGGGGAAUGUGAUAAAGGAUGGAAAGGUUUGCAAUGUGCAAAACUGCAAGAACUGAAUAGUGCAAACCUAGGAAUGAUUGACAGUGGCAUGUGACCAAGGGUCACAUGGGAGCCUGAGCUGGAGGAUCUGGGAAGACUCCAUCUUGCCCCAACAGACUCUUCUUCUGGUCUCCUGAGGAAGUCAAGAGGAAGGUCUGAAGAGGAUUUUCCCUGUGUUGAACUGAGGAAAGGUUCCUGUAUCAUUCAGUCUCACUUGGACAUCAGGACUUGCUUGGACAUCUAACAACAACAGAUCCUGGCUCUAACUGCUUUUUGGACCCCUGCUGAGACAAGAAUAUCAAGGGUGAGAUUGGGAGACACAAGAUUACAGCCAAGAAGAAAUGAGAAGUAUGCCAUAUCAGAAAGAAGAGAAACUCCGAGCUUCCCAGCCUGUUAUGUUGUGCCAAUCAGCCUGCAUUCCUCAGACUACAUUAGCAACAUGCCAAUAAUUCAGUGCUCCCAAGAUGUGUGACGGGUUUUCACAACACAUUUUUAUGAGUAAACUCACGCUUUCCUCUCCUCCUGUGUCAGAGACUGAAUGACUCAUAGGAACCAAAAUUAAAAGCUGGAUGGAAACUGGGGGAUCAUCAACUAUUACCCCUUUCUGAUACAGAUGCUUGCUCAAGGUCAUAUAGAAAAUAAAUGGAUUAGAGAGGAUUUGAACUUAAGUCCA